This 653-nucleotide ribosomal RNA is filed under the name uncultured Pezizales. Its description in RNAcentral is "eukaryotic LSU rRNA". It matches the Rfam family "Eukaryotic large subunit ribosomal RNA", at positions 1 to 665 of the family's 3401-position model. The record is from RNAcentral. Lineage: Eukaryota; Fungi; Ascomycota; Pezizomycetes; Pezizales.
GUAACCUCAAAUCAGGUAGGGAUACCCGCUGAACUUAAGCAUAUCAAUAAGCGGAGGAAAAGAAACCAACAGGGAUUGCCCUAGUAACGGCGAGUGAAGCGGCAAAAGCUCAGAUUUGGAAUCUGGCGCCAUUGUGGCGUCCGAGUUGUAGUCUGAAGAGGGGAAUUCAAGUGUAGCUUUGGCUUAAGUUCCUUGGAACAGGACGUCAUAGAGGGUGAGAACCCCGUUAAUGGCCUUUGUCUUAUGCUUAUGUGAAUCUCCUUCAAUGAGUCGAGUUGUUUGGGAAUGCAGCUCUAAAUGGGUGGUAAAUUCCAUCUAAAGCUAAAUACUGGCAAGAGACCGAUAGCGCACAAGUAGAGUGAUCGAAAGAUGAAAAGAACUCUGAACAGAGAGUUAAAUAGUACGUGAAAUUGUUGAAAGGGAAGCACUUGUAACCAGACACGCUUGCAGCUGAUCAAUCCUGAUUUUUGAGGAUGCACUCAGUUGCUAGCGAGUCAACAUCAGUCAUGGUGACAGGAAAAAGACCAAGGAAAGGUAGCUCCUUUCGGGGAGUGUUAUAGUCCUGGGUGUAAUGCUGCCUGCUAUGAUUGAGGACCGCGCUUUGGCGAGGAUGUUGGCAUAAUGGUUUUAAGUGACCCGUCUUGAAACACGGA